This 790-nucleotide ribosomal RNA is filed under the name Nostoc sp. HG1. RNAcentral's name for it is "bacterial SSU rRNA". It matches the Rfam family "Bacterial small subunit ribosomal RNA", at positions 1 to 795 of the family's 1533-position model. The record is from RNAcentral. Lineage: Bacteria; Bacillati; Cyanobacteriota; Cyanophyceae; Nostocales; Nostocaceae.
UUCCAAAGGAGAGUUUGAUCCUGGCUCAGGAUGAACGCUAGCGGCAGGCCUAAUACAUGCAAGUCGAACGGGGUGUAGCAAUACACCUAGUGGCGCACGGGUGCGUAACGCGUAACCAACCUACCUGAAUCUGGGGGAUAGCCCGCCGAAAGGCGGAUUAAUACCGCAUAAGACCAUAGAGCGGCAUCGUUUCGUGGUUAAAGAUUUAUUGGAUUCAGAUGGGGUUGCGUAGCAUUAGCUAGAUGGCGGGGUAACGGCUCACCAUGGCGACGAUGCUUAGGGGACCUGAGAGGGUGAUCCCCCACACUGGCACUGAGAUACGGGCCAGACUCCUACGGGAGGCAGCAGUAGGGAAUAUUGGGCAAUGGGCGCGAGCCUGACCCAGCCAUGCCGCGUGCCGGAUGAAGGCCUUCUGGGUUGUAAACGGCUUUUCUCAGGGAAGAAAAAGAGGAUGCGUCCUAAACUGACGGUACCUGAGGAAUAAGCACCGGCUAACUCCGUGCCAGCAGCCGCGGUAAUACGGAGGGUGCAAGCGUUGUCCGGAUUUAUUGGGUUUAAAGGGUGCGUAGGUGGCUUGUUAAGUCCGGGGUGAAAGCCCACAGCUCAACUGUGGAACUGCCCUGGAUACUGGCGAGCUUGAGUCCAGACGAGGUUGGCGGAAUGGAAGCUGUAGCGGUGAAAUGCAUAGAUAGCUUCCAGAACCCCGAUUGCGUAGGCAGCUGACUAGGCUGGUACUGACACUGAGGCACGAAAGCGUGGGGAGCGAACAGGAUUAGAUACCCUGGUAGUC